This 244-nucleotide ribosomal RNA is filed under the name uncultured bacterium. Its description in RNAcentral is "partial 16S ribosomal RNA". It matches the Rfam family "Bacterial small subunit ribosomal RNA", at positions 338 to 597 of the family's 1533-position model. The record is from RNAcentral.
CCUACGGGGCGCAGCAGUGGGGAAUAUUGGGCAAUGGGCGCAAGCCUGACCCAGCAACGCCGCGUGAAGGAAGAAGGCCCUUGGGUUGUAAACUUCUUUUAUCAGGGACGAAGAAGUGACGGUACCUGAUGAAUAAGCCACGGCUAACUACGUGCCAGCAGCCGCGGUAAUACGUAGGUGGCAAGCGUUAUCCGGAUUUACUGGGUGUAAAGGGCGUGUAGGCGGGGAAUGAAGGCAGAUGUGA